This 492-nucleotide ribosomal RNA is filed under the name uncultured bacterium. RNAcentral's name for it is "partial 16S ribosomal RNA". It matches the Rfam family "Bacterial small subunit ribosomal RNA", at positions 29 to 507 of the family's 1533-position model. The record is from RNAcentral.
AGUGAACGCUGGCGGUAGGCCUAACACAUGCGAGUCGAACGGCAGCACAGUAAGAGCUUGCUCUUACGGGUGGCGAGUGGCGGACGGGUGAGGAAUACAUCGGAAUCUACUUUUUCGUGGGGGAUAACGUAGGGAAACUUACGCUAAUACCGCAUACGACCUACGGGUGAAAGCAGGGGAUCUUCGGACCUUGCGCGAUUGAAUGAGCCGAUGUCGGAUUAGCUAGUUGGCGGGGUAAAGGCCCACCAAGGCGACGAUCCGUAGCUGGUCUGAGAGGAUGAACAGCCACACUGGAACUGAGACACGGUCCAGACUCCGACGGGAGGCAGCAGUGGGGAAUAGUGGACGAUGGGCGCAAGCCUGAUCCAGCCAUACCGCGUGGGUGAAGAAGGCCUUCGGGUUGUAAAGCCCUUUUGUUGGGAAAGAAAAGCAGCAGGUUAAUACCCCGCUGUUCUGACGGUACCCAAAGAAUAAGCACCGGCUAACUUCGUG